UUAGCCCUACGGGGGGCAGCAGUAGGGAAUUUUCGGCAAUGGGGGAAACCCUGAUGCAGCGACGCCGCGUGAGUGAAGAAGUAUUUCGGUACGUAAAGCUCUAUCAGCAGGGAAGAAAGAAAGUCCUUUGGACUUUGGACGGUACCUGACCAAGAAGCCCCGGCUAACUACGUGCCAGCAGCCGCGGUAAUACGUAGGGGGCAAGCGUUAUCCGGAUUUACUGGGUGUAAAGGGAGCGUAGACGGCAGCGCAAGUCUGGAGUGAAAUGCCGGGGCCCAACCCCGGAACUGCUUUGGAAACUGUGC
This 305-nucleotide ribosomal RNA is filed under the name uncultured bacterium. RNAcentral describes it as "bacterial SSU rRNA". It matches the Rfam family "Bacterial small subunit ribosomal RNA", at positions 333 to 638 of the family's 1533-position model. The record is from RNAcentral.